This 240-nucleotide long non-coding RNA is filed under the name Elaeis guineensis (African oil palm). RNAcentral describes it as "long non-coding RNA (EGUI_LNC054222)". The record is from RNAcentral. Lineage: Eukaryota; Viridiplantae; Streptophyta; Magnoliopsida; Arecales; Arecaceae.
GAUCGAGGAAAGCUUGCCCCAAACUGGGAAGGCCCGUAUGAGGUCAAAGAAGUAGUCCGACCCGAAACUUAUUACCUCAAGGAGCUCGGAGAAGCAGACCUCCCGUGACCAUGGAGCUCGAAAAACUUACGAAUAUAUUAUCGAUAACUUUAUUUUAAAUAAAAGUUGCAUAUCUACAUGUCUCCCCUCUUGGCACUAGCUUAUAUUGACAGGGCAGUCAAAACAAACUGUGUCGGAAGC